Molecule: ribosomal RNA, 253 nt
Filed under: uncultured bacterium
Lineage: Bacteria
Description: partial 16S ribosomal RNA
Rfam family: Bacterial small subunit ribosomal RNA
Source: RNAcentral
UACGUAGGGUGCAAGCGUUGUCCGGAAUUAUUGGGCGUAAAGAGCUCGUAGGCGGUCUGUCGCGUCUGCUGUGAAAACUCAGGGCUUAACCCUGAGCUUGCAGUGGGUACGGGCAGACUAGAGUGCGGUAGGGGAGACUGGAAUUCCUGGUGUAGCGGUGAAAUGCGCAGAUAUCGGGAGGAACACCAGUGGCGAAGGCGGCACUCUGGGCCGGAACUGACGCUGAGGAGCGAAAGCGUGGGGAGCGAACAGG